This 759-nucleotide long non-coding RNA is filed under the name Mytilus galloprovincialis (Mediterranean mussel). The record is from RNAcentral. Lineage: Eukaryota; Metazoa; Mollusca; Bivalvia; Mytilida; Mytilidae.
AAAGUAAAACUCUAGUACAGCCAAAGCAUUAUCUUGAAAUUUAUUCAUUUGGCGACAAUAUUGGGUUCAUUUAAAUAUGCAAGUCAAAGGUUUGAACACUUGUAAAUAUUGUUAAAUACCAAUACUUAAGGAUGACAAUUGAAAGCAUUUAUAUGAACACUGUAUUCAUGACAAAGAAUUGUAUAAUUCUACUGUCUCAUUCGCAAUCAUACCACAUUUCUGAUUUUUAUAUAACAAAACAAUGCAAACGGGGAAUGUGCCAAAGAGACAACAACCCGACAAAAAAGCAGGAAACAGCCAAAUGCCACCCAGGGGUCUUUAACACAGCAAAAUAGAGAGAGAAAACAUUAUGUUGUAUUUGUGCUAUGGUAUCAAAAUGAGAGGCGGUGGGUACUGAGGGUAUAUUUAAACUCAUAAGUCAAAGACAUACUGAUAACGUCAUGACAAAAAAGAAAGAAGAAAGUUACAAAACAAUAACAGUCUUCAAAGCACAGAAUAAAAAAAAAUACUGAUCUUUUCUCAGCAUCUGGAACCAUUACCAAAAAGAGCUCUGCAAUAACCCGAGAAUUGAUUCAGAUGCUUAGAAAAGAUAAGCAGAUCCCGCUAAACAUUUGGCACCCUUCGUGUGGAUCGUGUUAUUACAAAAUAGGCACAUUCGAGGUAUUUAUAUAAUUGAAAGAAAAAGCCUUAAUUGCACUGACAUAUUGGUGUACGAAUUUUGUAUAGAUAAAACAAAAUUGUGUUUCCAGUCUUUGAAUU